ACKGCUCAGUAACACGUGGUUAACCUGCCCUUGGGACGGAAACACCCCCGGGAAACUGGGGCUAAUUUCCGAUAGGUGAAGGCUCCUGGAAUGGAUCUUCGCCUAAAGGGCGCUUAGGCCAUGCUUCUAGGCGCUGCCCAAGGAUGGGGCCGCGGCCGAUCAGGUUGUUGGUGAGGUAAUGGCUCACCAAGCCUUUAACCGGUUCGGGCCGUGGGAGCGGGAGCCCGGAGAUGGGCACUGAGACAAGGGCCCAGGCCCUACGGGGCGCAGCAGUCGCGAAAACUCCGUAAUACGCGAAGGCGUGACGGGGCUAUCCCGAGUGCCGUCCGCUGAGGAUGGCUUUUCCCCAGUGUAGAUAGCUGGGGGAAUAAGGAGAGGGCAAGUCUGGUGUCAGCCGCCGCGGUAAUACCAGCACCUCGAGUGGUCAGGAGGUUUAUUGGGCCUAAAGCAUCCGUAGCCGGCUUUGCAAGUCUCCGGUUAAAUCCAGCUGCUUAACAGAUGGGCUGCCGGAGAUACUACAAAGCUAGGGAGCGGGAGAGGUAGACGGUAUUCGGUGGGUAGGGGUAAAAUCCACUGAUCCAUCGAGGACCACCAGUGGCGAAGGCGGUCUACCAGAACGCGUUCGACGGUGAGGGAUGAAAGCUGGGGGAGCAAACCGGAUUAGAUACCCGGGUAGUCCCAGCUGUAAACGAUGCAAACUCGGUGAUGCAUUGGCUUAUGGCCAAUGCAGUGCCGCAGGGAAGCCGUUAAGUUUGCCGCCUGGGAAGUACGGACGCAAGUCUGAAACUUAAAGGAAUUGGCGGGGGAGCAC
This 811-nucleotide ribosomal RNA is filed under the name uncultured Thermoproteales archaeon. RNAcentral describes it as "bacterial SSU rRNA". It matches the Rfam family "Archaeal small subunit ribosomal RNA", at positions 85 to 879 of the family's 1478-position model. Lineage: Archaea; Thermoproteati; Thermoproteota; Thermoprotei; Thermoproteales. The record is from RNAcentral.